Molecule: long non-coding RNA, 1355 nt
Organism: Girardinichthys multiradiatus
Lineage: Eukaryota; Metazoa; Chordata; Actinopteri; Cyprinodontiformes; Goodeidae
Exons: 3
Source: RefSeq, a predicted model, not a curated record
UUAGAUUAUUUGGAGUUUUCGACUCGUCAUGAGUUAACCAUGUUUGCCUUUUUAUCUGAGCUAAUUGGUUGGGUGUCUGAUAUCUCAGAAGCACUUCAAAAUCUCUAUAAUCUCAUUUAAUGUGAGAUUAAUGCCAACUCAAUGAGUAGUGUUGAUUAUGAAACAGAAACUGGUCCAGAUUCCUCUCGUCCAAGAGUUUUACUAAAGAAAGGAACGCUGCAGAGACUGCUGAACACAUAUCUACCAGCUGCCUGCAUAACUUAAUGCCUUGGAGCAUCAAGAAGGACGGUUUAUCACAGAAUGCAAGAAUUUAAUUCGUCAGUGAGAGGAUCAUACAGUACAGUGACUGAUCAGGAUCUUAACCAGGUCAUUUUAUCUAUCAAGCAUCAAAUGCUGGCUACUAAUGGUCCAAGGACAUUUGGUCUCCAUAUUCAGUGGUGGAGGAUGACGGCUUCAGUGCACCGAGUUGAUGCUGCGGGGAUCUUCUCACGUAUCACAAGUGCAUUAUGGGAACAAGCUAUUCUGUGUGAGGCGCACUCUCCCUGCUCCACAUCAACACUAAGCACAAAUUAAUAAGAUUUUACACUUGAUGCAGCAACAGAAAACAGCAAAAACAGCUUUUUCAUUCUUUCACAGAGCAACCCAGUUUUAUGGAUUACCUUCAAGGGAGUUGAGAACGUGGACAUUGCACGUUUCACGUUGGCCAAACGGGGAACGGAGAGCGAGCUUCACCUGUGGAAACAGUUUUCAUAAUCAGAGGUCUAGUUCUUUGGAUAUUCUUAAAUUUCAGCUGACCGCAUUUUUGUAGACUACAAUGUGUGUUUUUUAAUUAUUUAAAAGAAAAUGCAGUGCUACAUAAAUAUUUGAAUUUGUAAUUGGAGAAUUGAACAACUAUGGAGUGAUGUCUGGGUUGCAGUUACUAGCAAGUACCAUAGCAUUCAACACUUUCUGGAGGAGGAAGGUCACAUUUCUGAUGGUGUUUAGCUAUUUAGUGUCUGCUACAUCUUUGUCCCAUGACUGAAGGUGGUCCUUGAAAUCCUUGUGAGAGGAUGGAUUAACCAUCCUCUACAGACAGAAGGACUGACCCCUGAACAGCUGUGGUCUUUGGGACAUCUCCAGGAUCUAGAGGAUGGGGAGAGACUUGAGGUAAAGAUAAGAGAUGCAUAAAAUAAGUUUUAAUAGUUGUGCUGCUUAAAAAGACUGAAAACCAGAUAUCUGAUGUCUGCUUCAAUCUGUCUUUUAACUUCCAGAAAAUGCAGUGGUCUACGUUUUUUAAAUCUAAAAUCCAUAAUUCCUUUGAAUUAAAUGGUGGUGGGAGGCAUACAACAAAUAUAAACAGUCAUCAGCAGUUAAGG